UGCAUUCACUACUGUAAGUCGCUCUUGAUAAGAGCGUCUGCUAAAUGAAUAAAA
Salmo salar (Atlantic salmon) is the source of this 54-nucleotide non-coding RNA. Lineage: Eukaryota; Metazoa; Chordata; Actinopteri; Salmoniformes; Salmonidae. The record is from Rfam.